Camellia sinensis is the source of this 847-nucleotide long non-coding RNA. RefSeq lists it as uncharacterized. The record is from RefSeq and is a predicted model, not a curated record. Lineage: Eukaryota; Viridiplantae; Streptophyta; Magnoliopsida; Ericales; Theaceae.
CUCGCUAUCUUCUCUCUUAUUUCUUCUCGUUCUCGACCUUUACACAUCGCUUCUCUCUAAAACUCUCUCCCUCCUCUUUUCUAUAUCCAGACCUCCUCCUCGCUUCUCUCUCUUCUACCACUCUCAUUUCCUUUCUUAUUAUAAGCUUUUGUUGCUGUGGGAACUUACAUCAUCAAACACAGACACAAACCCACAUUGUAGUGAGAGAGAAAUGGAGCUUCAACAUUUUAGCCAUGAACAUCCAUUGAUACUCGGUGAAGUGAACGAUGAUGGUGAGGCAAUUGUCUGCAACGUGUGUUGGGAAAACAUCUUUGGUUCUGCAUUCUGUUGCAAAAAUUGUUUAUUUUUUAUGAACAAAUUUUGUGCUGAAUUUCCAGAGGAGAUGAAUCGCCCGAUCCACGCCCAUUCCCUUACGCUCCAACAUUCAGGGUCUUCUAGACGUUGUGAUGUUUGUGACGACAAUAUGUACGGAUUCACCUAUCAAUGUUCUCCUUGCUCUGUUUUGUUUUUUGUUUUUUUAAUCUUCACUCUUCUCUCAGUUCCACUUUGAGAGAGAGAAAGUGAAAUCUUAGAGAGAGCGAGAGAGUGAGUGAGUGGUGAGUAAUGGCAAUGGCAGUCUCGAAGAAGUGGUUUUCUUUGAGUUCUUGCUUCUUCUCGUUCUGUUGUUCGUCGAAGUAGUGGUGAUAACACGAACAGACAACAACUCUGCUCCCGGGAAUGUUGAAACAGACAAGUUACAGAGCUCCAACAACUCAGAUGAUGGCCAGAGAAAAUCACAGUGGUGAGUAUGUGAUUUGGUCAGAGAAAUUUGGGAAUUUCGCUGAUUUGGAGAGAAUUUCUUUGUGAA